UACGGAGGUCGCAAGCGUUGUUCGGAUUCAUUGGGCGUAAAGGGUGCGUAGGCGGCGCGGUAAGUCGGGUGUGAAAUCUUGGAGCUUAACUCCGAAACUGCAUUCGAUACUGCCGUGCUUGAGGACUGGAGAGGAGACUGGAAUUUACGGUGUAGCGGUGAAAUGCGUAGAUAUCGUAAGGAAGACCAGUGGCGAAGGCGGGUCUCUGGACAGUUCCUGACGCUGAGGCACGAAGGCCAGGGGAGCAAACGGG
RNAcentral lists this ribosomal RNA (253 nucleotides) under uncultured bacterium. RNAcentral describes it as "partial 16S ribosomal RNA". It matches the Rfam family "Bacterial small subunit ribosomal RNA", at positions 524 to 776 of the family's 1533-position model. The record is from RNAcentral.